GACGAACGCUGGCGGCGUGCUUAACACAUGCAAGUCGAACGGAAAGGCCUGCUUUCCCUUGUGGAUUGCGGGUACUCGAGUGGCGAACGGGUGAGUAACACGUGAGUGAUCUGCCCCCAACUUGGGUAUAAGCCUGGGAAACUGGGUCUAAUUCCCGAUAGGACUGCAGGGUGGUGCCUGUGGUGGAAAACGAUUUUCUAGUGGUUGGGGAUGAGCUCGCGGCCUAUCAGCUUGUUGGUGGGGUAAUGUCCUACCAAGGCGGCGACGGGUAGCCGGCCUGGGAGGGUGGACGGCCACAUUGGGACUGAGAUACGGCCCAGACUCCUACGGGAGGCAGCAGUGGGGAAUAUUGCACAAUGGGCGGAAGCCUGAUGCAGCGACGCCGCGUGGGGGAUGACGGCCUUCGGGUUGUAAACUCCUUUCGACCGCGAGGAAGCCACCUGGUUGGAAGGGUGGUGACGGUAGUGGUAGAAGAAGCACCGGCUAACUACGUG
This 494-nucleotide ribosomal RNA is filed under the name uncultured bacterium. Its description in RNAcentral is "partial 16S ribosomal RNA". It matches the Rfam family "Bacterial small subunit ribosomal RNA", at positions 28 to 507 of the family's 1533-position model. The record is from RNAcentral.